Molecule: ribosomal RNA, 472 nt
Filed under: uncultured bacterium
Lineage: Bacteria
Description: bacterial SSU rRNA
Rfam family: Bacterial small subunit ribosomal RNA
Source: RNAcentral
AGAGUUUGAUUAUGGCUCAGAACGUACGCUGGCGGCACGCCUAAUACAUGCAAGUCGAACGAAGUAGCAAUACUUAGUGGCGAACGGGUGAGUAUAAUGUGGGUAUCUGCCUUUUGGUGAGGAAUAACACGGGGAAACUUGUGCUAAUACUUCAUAAGCCUUUACAGGGAAAGCUUUAGCGCCAAAAGAUGAGCCCGCACUUGAUUAGCUAGUUGGUAAGGUAAUGGCUUACCAAGGCUACGAUCAAUAGCUGAUCUGAGAGGAUGAUCAGCCACAUUGGGACUGAGACACGGCCCAGACUCCUACGGGAGGCAGCAGUAGGGAAUCUUGCACAAUGGGGGAAACCCUGAUGCAGCGAUGCCGCGUGAGUGAAGAAGGCCUUUGGGUUGUAAAGCUCUUUCGUCGGGGAAGAAAAUGACUGUACCCGAAUAAGAAGGUCCGGCUAACUUCGUGCCAGCAGCCGCGGUAAUAC